UACGUAGGGUGCAAGCGUUGUCCGGAAUUAUUGGGCGUAAAGAGCUCGUAGGCGGUGUGUCGCGUCGGCCGUGAAAACCUGGGGCUCAACUCUGGCGUGCGGUCGAUACGGGCAUCACUUGAGUUCGGCAGGGGAGACUGGAAUUCUGGUGUAGCGGUGAAAUGCGUAGAUAUCACUUGGAACGCCAAUGGUGAAAACAGACUGCUGGGGGUGUGCUGACGCUGGAGAACACGGAAAGCCAGGGGAGCAAACGGG
RNAcentral lists this ribosomal RNA (255 nucleotides) under uncultured bacterium. RNAcentral's name for it is "partial 16S ribosomal RNA". It matches the Rfam family "Bacterial small subunit ribosomal RNA", at positions 524 to 776 of the family's 1533-position model. The record is from RNAcentral.